UCUUAUUGUUGCUGCUGAACUACUUAUAAACUCCCAAGGAUGAUAUCGAUUGACAGUCUUCUGCAGGACAUGUUGGAAACAGUUCGUGCUUUUCUAGCACUUUCAUGCAGUUACUUCAGUAAUGAAGAAGCAACUACCUCCAUAACGGAUUCAGAUGGAUGGUUAAGAAUUGAAGAUCUCUGCCUACAUUGAUGAGGAUGGUUUCAUUUUUGUGAUUGAUAGGCUGAAGGAGGUGAUCAAGUAUAAGAGUUAUCAAGUGUCUCCAUGCAAGAGGAUAGAGAAGUUUGCAUUUGUGGGUUCAAUCCCCAAGAACAAGACACCUGGGAAGGAUCUAAUAAAGCUUGCAACGUCCAAACUUUAAAUUUAGGAUUUGGCCUUCUAAUUAUAGUAAGUUGAAGUUUAUUGAUAAUAUACAUAAAUGGGUUUUA
Nicotiana attenuata is the source of this 428-nucleotide long non-coding RNA. RefSeq lists it as uncharacterized. Lineage: Eukaryota; Viridiplantae; Streptophyta; Magnoliopsida; Solanales; Solanaceae. The transcript has 3 exons. The record is from RefSeq and is a predicted model, not a curated record.